UUUUAUUAUUAAUCAAUAUAGAGUUUGGAGAGUACAGGCAUUAAGCUUCAAAACCAAAGAAUAUGGCGGUAUCUUAUUCUAUCAGGGGAACCUGUUCCUUAAUAUGAUAGUCCACGAUUGCAAAGCCUAAGUUUGAAAUAUUCAGCUUGUGUACUGCCGAAUUAUAGACUUUUAAAGAUUUGUCUAUAAAAUUAUUUGUAUUAAAUAAAAAGUCAGGUCAAAGUGCAGCUUAUACUUAGGUGAGAAUGGGUUACAAUUAUAUUUAAGAUUCAAAUUAAUUUAUUUAUUUAAUAUAUUAAUGAGGAGGAUUUGAAAGUAAUUAAAUUUCAUAAAUUUAAUGAAAAUUGAUUCUAAGAUGUGCACAUAUCGCCCGUCACUCCUUUAUAUAGGAUAAGUCGUAACAUAGUAGGUGUAAUGGAAAUUGCAUCUAU
RNAcentral lists this ribosomal RNA (431 nucleotides) under Limnatis paluda. RNAcentral describes it as "partial 12S ribosomal RNA". Lineage: Eukaryota; Metazoa; Annelida; Clitellata; Hirudinida; Hirudinidae. The record is from RNAcentral.